CAACUAGCCCCGAAAAUGGAUGGCGCUAAAGCGCGCGACCUAUACCCGGCCAUCGGGGCAAGGACCAAGCCCCGAUGAGUAGGAGGGUGCGGCGGUCGCUGCAAAACCCAGGGCGUGAGCUCGGGACGGGGGAAGCCCGUCUGAUAGCGCUU
Vigna angularis (adzuki bean) is the source of this 152-nucleotide ribosomal RNA. It matches the Rfam family "Eukaryotic large subunit ribosomal RNA", at positions 1303 to 1452 of the family's 3401-position model. The record is from Rfam. Lineage: Eukaryota; Viridiplantae; Streptophyta; Magnoliopsida; Fabales; Fabaceae.